Molecule: long non-coding RNA, 620 nt
Organism: Erinaceus europaeus (western European hedgehog)
Lineage: Eukaryota; Metazoa; Chordata; Mammalia; Eulipotyphla; Erinaceidae
Exons: 3
Source: RefSeq, a predicted model, not a curated record
ACCUCACACUUGAGAGUCCCAUGCCUUAUCCACUGUACCACCUUCCAGACCACACUUAUCAAUUUUUGAGAUUCUUUUCUUUAUUUGAUAGGACAGAGAGAAAUCAAGAGGAAAUGAGAAGCUAGAGGAGAGAAAGACACACCUGCAGCCCUCCUUCACCACUUGUGAAACUUACCCCUGCAGGCGGCAGAUGGGCUGAGUCCUGAGAAGGGCCAGGAGGCUUCCCUGAGGCCUUUUGAGGAGGAAGCAGGAAAACCAGCCUCACUUCCUGACCAUGCUUCUGUCUGGCCAAGGCUGGUAAGAGGGGCCUGAUCAUCUCCCGGGGCAUUGGGGUGUUGAGUCCCACCUGGCCAUGGAGCCCAGUGCUUGGACAUUCCUGAGGGCCUCUUCUCAGUUUGGAAAGCACGGCUCACAGCUGUCCCUGUGUCUGACUUGAAACUGCCCAGCACGUUCACCAGCCUGACGUCUGGGAUCUGAGCCCGUCCUCUGCUGCGUCCCCCCAGCCCGAGGUGCACUUCCUCCUCGCUGCAGAUGGAGCCCAGCGCAGGCUUGUUCUCUCGCCCAGCGGUGGCCUGCUCCCCAUCAGCAGAACCUUGUGUGGAAGAUGAGGGGCCCUCAGC